CCGUCGGAAAGCUCGAACAUCGUGCAGGUGUUCGGUGGGGUUGACGUAAAUUAUGUGUCCGGAGUCGCGAUAGCGACUUCCCGAGAAAAAGGGGGAAAUAUGUUUAUUGUUCUAACCAAAAGGGUGAGAGAGAACUGGGACAAAAGAAAGAACAGUUGGUUGCAGAUCGUCGAAGCUUGCGGAGGUGAUUCGGACGUGCUCGCUUACUACAAUAAGUCAGGCUCUGAUCGUCGAAAGAAAGUUGGUAUAAUAUCCCCGAGAAACGAGAUACCUCUCGUCUCGAUCGUCGGGCAGACACAGCAGAAAUUCCAAUGAGUGCCAGAUCUCCGACCAGCUCUCCUGUUCCUCGUCUUCUUGCUACAUCCUUGGGACUUUCUUUCCUCCUCCUUUGUGAACUGUCGCCAGUCCAUCCAACC
Molecule: long non-coding RNA, 416 nt
Filed under: Androctonus crassicauda
Lineage: Eukaryota; Metazoa; Arthropoda; Arachnida; Scorpiones; Buthidae
Source: RNAcentral